CCUACGGGCGGCAGCAGUCGAGAAUCAUUCACAAUGGGGGAAACCCUGAUGGUGCGACGCCGCGUGGGGGAAUGAAGGUCUUCGGAUUGUAAACCCCUGUCAUGUGGGAGCAAAUUAAAAAGAUAGUACCACAAGAGGAAGAGACGGCUAACUCUGUGCCAGCAGCCGCGGUACUACAGAGGUCUCAAGCGUUGUUCGGAAGCACUGGGCGUAAAGCGUGCGUAGGCUGUUUCGUAAGUCGUGUGUGAAAGGCGCGGGCUCAACCCGCGGACGGCACAUGAUACUGCGAGACUAGAGUAAUGGAGGGGGAACCGGAAUUCUCGGUGUAGCAGUGAAAUGCGUAGAUAUCGAGAGGAACACUCGUGGCGAAGGCGGGUUCCUGGACAUUAACUGACGCUGAGGCACGAAGGCCAGGGGAGCGAAAGGGAUUAGAUACCCGAGUAGUC
This 446-nucleotide ribosomal RNA is filed under the name uncultured bacterium. RNAcentral's name for it is "partial 16S ribosomal RNA". It matches the Rfam family "Bacterial small subunit ribosomal RNA", at positions 338 to 795 of the family's 1533-position model. The record is from RNAcentral.